RNAcentral lists this ribosomal RNA (119 nucleotides) under Aotus nancymaae (Ma's night monkey). The record is from RNAcentral. Lineage: Eukaryota; Metazoa; Chordata; Mammalia; Primates; Aotidae.
GUCUACGGCCAUACCACCCUGAACGCGCCUGAUCUUGUCUGAUCUCAGAAGCUAAGCAGGGUUGGGCCUGGUUUGUACUUGGAUGGUAGACCGCCUGGGUAUAACAGGUGCUGUAGGCU